UACAGAGGGUGCGAGCGUUAAUCGGAAUUACUGGGCGUAAAGCGUGCGUAGACGGCUAUCUAAGUCGGGUGUGAAAGCCCCGGGCUCAACCUGGGAAUUGCAUUCGAGACUGAAUAGCUAGGGUACGGUAGAGGGAAGCGGAAUUUCCGGUGUAGCGGUGAAAUGCGUAGAUAUCUGGAGGAACACCGGUGGCGAAGGCGGCAUCCUGGACCGGCAUUGACGCUGAGGAGCGAAAGCCAGGGGAGCAAACGGG
RNAcentral lists this ribosomal RNA (253 nucleotides) under uncultured bacterium. RNAcentral describes it as "partial 16S ribosomal RNA". It matches the Rfam family "Bacterial small subunit ribosomal RNA", at positions 524 to 776 of the family's 1533-position model. The record is from RNAcentral.